UGAGGAAUAUUGGUCAAUGGGCGAGAGCCUGAACCAGCCAAGUAGCGUGCAGGAUGACGGCCCUAUGGGUUGUAAACUGCUUUUAUGUGGGGAUAAAGUGCGUGACGUGUCAUGCAUUGCAGGUACCACAUGAAUAAGGACCGGCUAAUUCCGUGCCAGCAGCCGCGGUAAUACGGAAGGUCCGGGCGUUAUCCGGAUUUAUUGGGUUUAAAGGGAGCGUAGGCUGUCUAUUAAGCGUGUUGUGAAAUUUACCGGCUCAACCGGUGGCUUGCAGCGCGAACUGGUCGACUUGAGUAUGCAGGAAGUAGGCGGAAUUCAUGGUGUAGCGGUGAAAUGCUUAGAUAUCAUGACGAACUCCGAUUGCGCAGGCAGCUUACUGUCGCAUAACUGACGCUGAUGCUCGAAAGUGCGGGUAUCAAACAGG
Molecule: ribosomal RNA, 424 nt
Filed under: Fusobacteriota bacterium
Lineage: Bacteria; Fusobacteriati; Fusobacteriota
Description: Fusobacteria bacterium partial 16S ribosomal RNA
Rfam family: Bacterial small subunit ribosomal RNA
Source: RNAcentral